CAGGCCUAAUACAUGCAAGUCGAACGAUACCGAGAGGCUUGCUUCUCGGGAAAGUGGCGCACGGGUGCGUAACGCGUAUGCAACCUACCUCAAUCAGGGGGAUAGCCCGAAGAAAUUCGGAUUAACACCGCAUAAAAUCACAGGAUAGCAUUAUCUAAUGAUCAAAUAUUUAUAGGAUUGAGAUGGGCAUGCGUGUCAUUAGUUAGUUGGCGAGGUAACGGCUCACCAAGACCACGAUGACUAGGGGAUCUGAGAGGAUGACCCCCCACACUGGUACUGAGACACGGACCAGACUCCUACGGGAGGCAGCAGUAAGGAAUAUUGGUCAAUGGAGGCAACUCUGAACCAGCCAUGCCGCGUGCAGGAAGACAGCCCUCUGGGUCGUAAACUGCUUUUAUUCGGGAAUAAACCUACUUACGUGUAAGUAGCUGAAUGUACCGAAGGAAUAAGGAUCGGCUAACUCCGUGCCAGCAGCCGCGGUAAUACGGAGGAUCCAAGCGUUAUCCGGAUUUAUUGGGUUUAAAGGGUGCGUAGGCGGCUUAUUAAGUCAGGGGUGAAAGACGGUGGCUCAACCAUCGCAGUGCCCUUGAUACUGAUGAGCUUGAAUACACUAGAGGUAGGCGGAAUGUGACAAGUAGCGGUGAAAUGCAUAGAUAUGUCACAGAACACCGAUUGCGAAGGCAGCUUACUAUGGUGUUAUUGACGCUGAGGCACGAAAGCGUGGGGAUCAAACAGGAUUAGAUACCCUGGUAGUCCACGCCCUAAACGAUGAAUACUCGCUGUU
Molecule: ribosomal RNA, 784 nt
Filed under: Pedobacter sp.
Lineage: Bacteria; Pseudomonadati; Bacteroidota; Sphingobacteriia; Sphingobacteriales; Sphingobacteriaceae
Description: bacterial SSU rRNA
Rfam family: Bacterial small subunit ribosomal RNA
Source: RNAcentral